Molecule: ribosomal RNA, 371 nt
Filed under: Pyramidobacter piscolens
Lineage: Bacteria; Thermotogati; Synergistota; Synergistia; Synergistales; Dethiosulfovibrionaceae
Description: bacterial SSU rRNA
Rfam family: Bacterial small subunit ribosomal RNA
Source: RNAcentral
AACACAUUCAAGUUGAGCGAGGAUGGUUCGAGAGACUUAUGUUGAUUGGAACAUUCAAGCAGCGGACGGGUGAGUAAAGCACAAGGACUUGUCCGAAAGAGAGGGACACCUGCGGGAAACCGGAGCCAAUACCUCAUAAGCCGGAAGGUGAAAAGCAGAGAUGCGCUUUUGGAGAGACUUGUGUCCUAUCAGGCAGUUGGUGAGGUAAUGGCUCACCAAACCGAAGACGGGUAGCCGGACUGAGAGGUCGACCGGCCACAUUGGAACUGAGAGACGGUCCAGACUCCUACGGGAGGCAGCAGUGGGGAAUAUUGGGCAAUGGGCGCAAGCCUGACCCAGCGACGCCGCGUGAGGGAAGACAGCCCUUCCGG